CACCAGUGAUCGUUUCGCAAUUUCCGGUUAGCAGGCUGGCCGCGCCUUUCCUUUAGUCCUAUGAACUCCCAGCUUUCCUUCCAGUUUUGUUCUUUCCGGUUCCGGUCGCGUUAGCUCUCAGUACGAUAGACAAUAUGGCAUACCGGGGACAGGGACCGAAAGUCCAGAAAGUGAUGGUUCAGCCCAUCGUAUCUUUUUACAUGUUGGUCUAGGUACUGCCCGCAUGGAGGGCUUCGUCUCGGGCUGUGAUGGCAUCCUAUAUGAUGCACGUGUGUGACCGCCUCAAUGGUGGUUUUGAUCUCUCUCGGGAGGCUCUACUGGGUGUAGUUCAGUUUAAUAAUGUGUGAGGGCUGGGGGGGGGCGCAUAAUAAUGUGUGAGGGCUGGGGGGGGCGCAUAAUAAUGUGUGAGGCUGGGGGCGCAUAAUAAUGUGUGAGGGGCCAGGGGGCGCAUAAUAAUGUGUGAGGGCUGGGGGCGCAUAAUAAUGUGGGCUGGGGGAGCGCAUAAUAAUGUGAGGGCUGGGGGCGCAUAAUAAUGUGAGGGCUGGGAGGGUGAGGCUGGGGGGAGGGCUGGGGGGAGCAUAAUAAUGUGUGAGGGCUGGGGAGCGCAUAAUAAUGUGUGAGGGCUGGGGGGCGCAUAAUAAUGUGUGAGGGCUGGGGAGCGCAUAAUAAUGUGUGAGGCUGUUAAUGUGGGCUGCAUAGGCUGGGGCGCAUAAUAAUGUGUGAGGGCUGGGGCUAUAAUGAAUGUGAGGGCUGAGGUGCUGGGGUAUAAUAGGGCUAUAAAUGAUAAAGCAGGAGCUGGGGCUUAUAUAAUAAUGUGAGGGCUGGGGGGCAUAAUAAUGUGUGAGGGCUGGGGGCAUAAUAAUGUGUGAGGGCUGGGGGAUGCAUAAUAAUGUGUGAGGGCUGGGGGAGCGCAUAAUAAUGUGUGAGGGCUGGGGGGAUAAUACGUGUGAGGGCUGGGAGCGAUGCGACAAUAAUGUGUGUGGGCUGGGAGGGGGAUACUAAUGUGUGAGGGUUGGACAUACUAAUGUGUGUGAGGGCUGGGAGGGGGAGCGAUACUAGGUGUGAGGGCUGGAGGGGAGCGCAUACUAAUGUGUGAGGGCUGAGGGGAGCGAUACUAAUGUGUGAGGGGCUGGGAGGGCUGGAGAGGGGGACUAAUGCAUACUAAUGGCAGGGGGGGCGCAUAAUAAUGUGGGAGGGCUGGAGAUUGUGCAAAAAGUUCUAGAUUUUUAUUGACAUGUAACAUGAUUCUGUAUCUAUUCUAAACCAUCUGGCUAUAAUCCUUAAUCUAGGUAUAACAGAACCUUAUUUUCAGGUAUCUACAGAAUGUAAGUAUCCUGUGUGUGUGUG
Molecule: non-coding RNA, 1347 nt
Organism: Pelobates cultripes (western spadefoot toad)
Lineage: Eukaryota; Metazoa; Chordata; Amphibia; Anura; Pelobatidae
Source: the annotation of a GenBank genome assembly